AAACAAUUAUUAAGAAUAUGAUCAGCGGUAUUGAUUAUUUUAGGUUCUCGUGGCGCAUGACUUCUUAACUGUUGUUCCAGUCGGUGGAUGGAAGUAGACACUUUUUCGCUGAAGCUAUCAAGUUGAUUAUGCGGCGAAUUUUCAAUGCAGGAAAGGUUGACAAUGUAAUUAUUACUUUUUUACGUUGCGUCUGCAUAAUCACACCAAAGAGUUUGCAAAGGCAAUAAGUUGUUUCACUCUACAGUUUCAAUAACAAUAACAAGAAUUUGGUUAGGAUCGGAGAAAUAGCGUGGAAUUAGUGAUUAGAAUUAUUUUUCUUUAAUUAACACAAGCAAAGUCGACACUCAAGCCGCAUUUCUACUAUAAAUAGUUAAUAUGGCAAGGGCUGUUUUUGAAAAGAUUUAUUUGAGGCUGCGGAAUAGCUUUCGAGGGCGAGCAAAAUUGUUUAUCAAAAUUCAUAUCACGAUGAUCACAAGAAACAAAGUCGGACAAUUAGUAAAAAUGCUAAGUGAAGUCGGUAUUGCUACGUGCGAGUAAA
Long non-coding RNA from Glossina fuscipes, 538 nucleotides. RefSeq lists it as uncharacterized. The transcript is spliced from 2 exons. The record is from RefSeq and is a predicted model, not a curated record. Lineage: Eukaryota; Metazoa; Arthropoda; Insecta; Diptera; Glossinidae.